GGCCAUGUAAGACAUACCUCCUUCCUCUUUGCCUUCCACCAUGAUUGUAUAUUUCCUGAGACCUCUCCAGCCAUGCUUCCCGUACAGCCUUGGCCUUGCUAACAAGUUUACCUCCAAACUAUGAGAUUUCAGAAGGAAAACCAAGAGCCAUCUCUGCAUAUGUGAGAGCGGGCAAAGGAAAUGUGACAAGGAGAAGAAAGAAGACACACUUGGGCAAUGAUGAUGGGAAGAAGGAAGCACAGGAGAAAAUCCCAUGAGGAAGAUCCAAAGAGAACUUUGGCCUUAACUAAGCUUCCUACAUUCUCCUGGAGUCGGUGGUUUAUGAAUGUGGUGCCAUCUGGGGAACUGACAACCCCUGAUGUGUUCACUCUGCUCGUCUUCCAGGUGAGAGAAGAAGAAGGCGAGAAAGAAAGAGAAGUUCCAGAAUUUCACAGGCUGAGGGAGAUGGUAGUAACUUCUGUUUAUGUUGGUUUCUGUUUAUUGGUUUGCUUUUUAUUUUGAACUCGUUUGACUUCAGGUUCCAGAUUUGUUUUUUUCUUUGUAAACGAGACUUUGACAUUGUUAGCAGGCCCAUCUGUUUGCUUUUCUUAAAUAAAAUGUAAAUUGGUUUUUGUUUUAAAUUUCA
RNAcentral lists this long non-coding RNA (625 nucleotides) under Homo sapiens (human). RNAcentral describes it as "CLLU1 antisense RNA 1, transcript variant 2 (CLLU1-AS1)". Lineage: Eukaryota; Metazoa; Chordata; Mammalia; Primates; Hominidae. The record is from RNAcentral.